GGCGCCCAGACUCGCGCGCCAGAGGUUGCCCUGGAAACUGUGGAGCGAGAUGCAGUGAGCUGGGCCCCAGGACGCCCCAGCCACCCUGACACACCACCCAACAUCUAUGAGGGAGGAUUGGGGGCCCAGCAGCAGCAGGGCCCCAGUGCUCAGGGAAGCAAGCCCAAGAACUUCCGACUGCGACACCUCCGGAGCCUGGCUCUCUACCUGCCAGGCCACAUGCAGCCUGCUGGCCAAUGUGGAAGCCACUGGCUAGGCCGGCUCAUGGCUGGGGGCAGCCUGACACGGCCUGAAGGCUCACCCUGGCCCCUGGACCUGCCACAGGGGACCCUGGGUCCAGGUUGCAGCAAGGGAGAAGAACUUCUUGUUGGAUGUGAUAUCACGAUACCAUGAGUCUGGGUACCUGAGGGAGAGAGCAUACUCAGAAGAGUCCUAUCCAGUGCCAGAAGAGGAACUGCUGCAGAGGCAACGAGGAGUCUACGCAGAUGGGCCUCACUGUGUCUUCCACCUUCACUCCAUUAGAAGAAGAGAAUACGCUUUGUUUGUCUGACUAUCUCUACACCACAGCCCAUGCUUUGAUGAACGGAAUUCACCAUGGGUAUUUCCAUCCUCAAUCUGAAGGCCCAGGUCAAAUAAAUCUGUUAUUCUCUUCUCCUGCUAA
Long non-coding RNA from Mus musculus (house mouse), 661 nucleotides. RefSeq annotates it as predicted gene, 41410. The record is from RefSeq and is marked validated. The transcript has 4 exons. NCBI's taxonomy places the organism in Eukaryota, Metazoa, Chordata, Mammalia, Rodentia, Muridae.